Molecule: non-coding RNA, 250 nt
Organism: Camelina sativa (false flax)
Lineage: Eukaryota; Viridiplantae; Streptophyta; Magnoliopsida; Brassicales; Brassicaceae
Source: RefSeq, a predicted model, not a curated record
GGGAUGUUAUGCUUCUCAAUCAGUCCAUAUGACAUAUGAGGAGUUGUUGUCCCUAGAAGAGUGGACUGGCGAUGUUUGUACCGGUUUGAAUGAGGAAACCAUAUCAAACGGAUUGAACCAACAGAAGUACAAAAGUAGCUCCAGGUCUCCACAAGAAGCAGAACCAUGCUGUAUUUGUCAGAAUGGUUGAAGCUGAAGAAUCUUUGCCCAAUUUGCAGAACAACAAAGAAGAAAGAACCUAAAGAAAAAG